Molecule: ribosomal RNA, 526 nt
Filed under: Pseudo-nitzschia americana
Lineage: Eukaryota; Bacillariophyta; Bacillariophyceae; Bacillariales; Bacillariaceae
Description: eukaryotic LSU rRNA
Rfam family: Eukaryotic large subunit ribosomal RNA
Source: RNAcentral
AAUUGUGGUCUGUAGACUUUGACAUUAUCUGCCGGGCCAAGUUCCUUGGAAAAGGACAGCUGAGAGGGUGAGACUCCCGUCCGCCUGGCUGAAUGAGUCAUUUGUCAACGAGUCGAGUUGUUUGGGAUUGCAGCUCUAAUUUGGUGGUAAAUUCCAUCUAAAGCUAAAUAUUGGUGGGAGACCGAUAGCGUACAAGUACCGUGAGGGAAAGAUGCAAAGAACUUUGAAAAGAGAGUUAAAGAGUACCUGAAACUGCUGAAACGGAAGCGAAGGAAACCAGUGUUUGUUUGUUCAUAUUUCCCUGGCCACUUGUGGUUUGGGCGCUGUGAGCUUGCGUGAGUUUGGGUUGGUUGAUCCCUUUGGAAGAGCGCAGUCAGAGUUGAUGUCUGUUGCUAGCACUGGGUUUGACUGAUGCAGACGAAAUGGUUUUCUUUACCCCGUCUUGAAACACGGACCAAGGAGUCUAACAUAUGUGCGAGUACAGGGGUGUCAAACCCCGGUGCGUAAUGAAAGUGACAGUGGUUGG